This 87-nucleotide transfer RNA is filed under the name Candidatus Latescibacter sp. RNAcentral describes it as "tRNA-Ser". It matches the Rfam family "tRNA". From Rfam's summary of the family: Transfer RNA (tRNA) molecules are approximately 80 nucleotides in length. Their secondary structure includes four short double-helical elements and three loops (D, anti-codon, and T loops). Further hydrogen bonds mediate the characteristic L-shaped molecular structure. tRNAs have two regions of fundamental functional importance: the anti-codon, which is responsible for specific mRNA codon recognition, and the 3' end, to which the tRNAs corresponding amino acid is attached (by aminoacyl-tRNA synthetases). tRNAs cope with the degeneracy of the genetic code in two manners: having more than one tRNA (with a specific anti-codon) for a particular amino acid; and 'wobble' base-pairing, i.e. permitting non-standard base-pairing at the 3rd anti-codon position. Lineage: Bacteria; Pseudomonadati; Candidatus Latescibacterota; Candidatus Latescibacteria (ex Chuvochina et al. 2023); Candidatus Latescibacterales; Candidatus Latescibacteraceae. The record is from RNAcentral.
GGAGGGUUAGUCUAAUUGGCAAGGCAGUGGACUUGAAAUCCACCGGGUUUACAGCCCUUCGGGGUUCGACUCCCCGACCCUCCGCCA